CCUACGGGAGGCAGCAGUGAGGAAUAUUGGUCAAUGGACGAGAGUCUGAACCAGCCAAGUAGCGUGAAGGAUGACUGCCCUAUGGGUUGUAAACUUCUUUUAUAAAGGAAUAAAACGAGGCACGUGUGCCGUUUUGCAUGGACGUUACGAAUAAGGAUCGGCUAACUCCGGGCCAGCAGCCGCGGUAAUACGGAGGAUCCGAGCUUUAUCCGGAUUUAUUGGGUUUACAGGGAGCGUAGAUGGGUUGUUAAGUCAGUUGUGAAAGUUUGCGGCUCAACCGUAAAAUUGCAAUUGAUACGGGCAGUCUUGAGUACAGUUGCGGUAGGCGGAAUUCGUGGUGUAGCGGUGAAAUGCUUAGCUAUCCCG
RNAcentral lists this ribosomal RNA (366 nucleotides) under uncultured bacterium. RNAcentral describes it as "partial 16S ribosomal RNA". It matches the Rfam family "Bacterial small subunit ribosomal RNA", at positions 338 to 701 of the family's 1533-position model. The record is from RNAcentral.